UUUACAGAAUAAAAACUUACCCAUAGAAAAUACCACGGACUGUCUGAGCACCAUGGCCAGCGUGUGUAGAGUCAUGCUGGAAACGCCGGAAUACAGAAGCAGGUUCACAAACGAAGAGACAGUGUCGUUCUGCUUGAGGGUAAUGGUGGGCGUCAUCAUACUCUAUGACCAUGUACAUCCAGUGGGAGCAUUUGCCAAAACC
This is a long non-coding RNA of Myotis brandtii (Brandt's bat), 202 nucleotides long. RefSeq lists it as uncharacterized. NCBI's taxonomy places the organism in Eukaryota, Metazoa, Chordata, Mammalia, Chiroptera, Vespertilionidae. The record is from RefSeq and is a predicted model, not a curated record. The transcript has 2 exons.